GUGGGGAAUCUUCCGCAAUGGACGAAAGUCUGACGGAGCAACGCCGCGUGAGUGAUGACGGCCUUCGGGUUGUAAAGCUCUGUUAAUCGGGACGAAAGGUCCUCUUGUGAAUAAUUAGAGGAAUUGACGGUACCGGAAUAGAAAGCCACGGCUAACUACGUGCCAGCAGCCGCGGUAAUACGUAGGUGGCAAGCGUUGUCCGGAAUUAUUGGGCGUAAAGCGCGCGCAGGCGGAUUAGUCAGUCUGUCUUAAAAGUUCGGGGCUUAACCCCGUGAUGGGAUGGAAACUGCUAAUCUAGAGUAUCGGAGAGGAAAGUGGAAUUCCUAGUGUAGCGGUGAAAUGCGUAGAUAUUAGGAAGAACACCAGUGGCGAAGGCGACUUUCUGGACGAAAACUGACGCUGAGGCGCGAAAGCCAGGGGAGCGAACGGG
RNAcentral lists this ribosomal RNA (430 nucleotides) under uncultured rumen bacterium. RNAcentral's name for it is "bacterial SSU rRNA". It matches the Rfam family "Bacterial small subunit ribosomal RNA", at positions 354 to 776 of the family's 1533-position model. The record is from RNAcentral.